RNAcentral lists this long non-coding RNA (853 nucleotides) under Agrilus planipennis (emerald ash borer). RNAcentral's name for it is "uncharacterized LOC108732869, transcript variant X1". Lineage: Eukaryota; Metazoa; Arthropoda; Insecta; Coleoptera; Buprestidae. The record is from RNAcentral.
AGGAGGGUCAGUUCCUAUUUACGAAUUAACCUGAGUUAGUAUAAUUGAACGCACCUACAAAACCUAUUAUCUAUGUAGUAUGGAUAAGUUGUCGUUUUUGGUGUCCAUUAACGGAGACAACACCUGAAGGUUUGCUGUGAGAUGACAUUCUUGGUUUAGAUGGGGAAACUUACAGAUGCAAUGUUUAUGGCAGUCAGACUUAUUUUUAUUUCCAAAAAUGCUUCUAAUGAGCUGGCCAAAAAUUCAUAUGGUGGUAACAAUAGUAAUUAUCAUUAAUAAUAAAAUAACAAAGCCUGAUGAACAUAUAAUUAAUAUUAAGUUGUUUCAACAGAUUAAUUUCCAUUAAAACAUAAUAAGUGAACAUGAAAAGGGUAAAUUAAAAGGAGCCGAAACGUGGAGAGGGAGAAACUCACAUUUCUUUCUCUUGGACUCAGAAAGGGUUAAUCAUUUAAAUACAUUGAAUGAACAGAGACAAAACAUAAGAAAGAUUCGAAACAUGGAGAAGUGGAAACCCAUUGAUGCUCCUUCCCCUUGGACUUAAAAGGUGCAGUUUUUAGGAAACAUGCAUUCCAAUUGACUGAUGUGUUUAAGGUUACAGAUGUGAUGUGUCUGUCUUCUGUUAUAUGACAUUUCAUCAUCGUCGAUGGUAUUAUUUGCUCUCUAUGAUCGUCCAAACAUACGAGAGGAAAAAUUGCAAGUUCAGGUUGAUCAUAGUGAAACAACCAAUAUCUGCAAUGAUUUCGUCUUUCCUGAGUUAUAUCCUUGAUUUUGCUGUUUUCGUCUUCAACUUGCAACCUUAUGGAGUUAAUUUUCAGCAGAUGAGUGAGAGCAAGAGGACAUUAUUGGAAUUCCA